RNAcentral lists this ribosomal RNA (253 nucleotides) under uncultured bacterium. Its description in RNAcentral is "partial 16S ribosomal RNA". It matches the Rfam family "Bacterial small subunit ribosomal RNA", at positions 524 to 776 of the family's 1533-position model. The record is from RNAcentral.
UACGUAGGGUGCAAGCGUUGUCCGGAAUUAUUGGGCGUAAAGAGCUCGUAGGCGGUUUGUCGCGUCGGCUGUGAAAACUCGGGGCUCAACCCCGAGCCUGCAGUCGAUACGGGCAGACUAGAGUGCGGUAGGGGAGACUGGAAUUCCUGGUGUAGCGGUGAAAUGCGCAGAUAUCAGGAGGAACACCGGUGGCGAAGGCGGGUCUCUGGGCCGCUACUGACGCUGAGGAGCGAAAGCGUGGGGAGCGAACAGG